UGUGUGUGUGCACGUGUGUGCACAUAUAUAUAUUAUAAAUGUGUGUGUGUGUACAUAUAACACACACACA
This is a non-coding RNA of Podarcis lilfordi (Lilford's wall lizard), 70 nucleotides long. The record is from the annotation of a GenBank genome assembly. Lineage: Eukaryota; Metazoa; Chordata; Lepidosauria; Squamata; Lacertidae.